Molecule: non-coding RNA, 489 nt
Organism: Amphiprion ocellaris (clown anemonefish)
Lineage: Eukaryota; Metazoa; Chordata; Actinopteri; Pomacentridae
Source: the annotation of a RefSeq genome assembly
CAGCUGCAGCUGACUGACUCUGAGUGUUUGCAUAUGUGUCCUGCCUCUGAGCUCCACACGUUAAGAGGCCAGUGUUGAUCAGAGUCUGUCCAGACCUUUCACACACUCUGACACGCCGGCAGCACAAUCAUCAUGUCCCUGACUCUACUGCUGGCCACCCUGGGGCUCCUUGUUCAGGGUUCAUCAUCAGAAAUCAUCCUGACUCAGUCUCCUGGAUCUCAGUCUGUUGUUCCAGGACAAACUGUCUCCAUCACAUGUAGAAGCAGUUCAAGUAUCAGUAACUACCUGCACUGGUACCUUCAGAAACCUGGACAAGCUCCUAAACUGCUUGUUUAUUAUGCUUCAACUCGUCAGUCUGGAGUUUCUGAUCGUUUCAGUGGAAGUGGAUCUGGAACUCAGUUUACUUUGACCAUCAGUGGAGUUCAGGCUGAAGAUUCAGGAGUUUAUUACUGUUCACAAAGUGGUUACAGCUACCCGUUCACACAGUGA